AAAUUGAAGAGUUUGAUCAUGGCUCAGAUUGAACGCUGGCGGCAGGCCUAACACAUGCAAGUCGAGCGGAAACGAGUUAUCUGAACCUUCGGGGAACGAUAACGGCGUCGAGCGGCGGACGGGUGAGUAAUGCCUAGGAAAUUGCCCUGAUGUGGGGGAUAACCAUUGGAAACGAUGGCUAAUACCGCAUGAUGCCUACGGGCCAAAGA
RNAcentral lists this ribosomal RNA (209 nucleotides) under Vibrio alginolyticus. RNAcentral's name for it is "partial 16S ribosomal RNA". It matches the Rfam family "Bacterial small subunit ribosomal RNA", at positions 1 to 207 of the family's 1533-position model. Lineage: Bacteria; Pseudomonadati; Pseudomonadota; Gammaproteobacteria; Vibrionales; Vibrionaceae. The record is from RNAcentral. RNAcentral also lists the same sequence under 1 other name.